GACCGCGAGGUAGAGCAAAUCUCAAAAAAACAAUCUCAGUUCAGACUGCAGGCUGCAACUCGCCUGCACGAAGUCGGAAUUGCUAGUAAUCGUAGGUCAGCAUACUACGGUGAAUACGUUCCCGGGCCUUGUACACACCGCCCGUCAAACCAUGAGAGUUGGCAACACCCGAAGUCGGUAGUCUAACCGCAAGGAGGACGCCGCCGAAGGUGGGGUUGAUGAUUAGGGUUAAGUCGUAACAAGGUAUC
RNAcentral lists this ribosomal RNA (248 nucleotides) under uncultured bacterium. RNAcentral describes it as "partial 16S ribosomal RNA". It matches the Rfam family "Bacterial small subunit ribosomal RNA", at positions 1253 to 1500 of the family's 1533-position model. The record is from RNAcentral.